AGCAGCCGCGGUAAUUCCAGCUCCAAUAGCGUAUAUUAAAGUUGUUGCAGUUAAAAAGCUCGUAGUUGAAUUUCGGGGUCAGUAGGUUGGUCAUGCCUCCGGUAUGUACUGGUCUCACUGAUUCCUCCUUCCUGAUGAGCCGUAAUGCCAUUAAUUUGGUGUUGCGGGGAAUCUGGACUGUUACUUUGAAAAAUUAGAGUGUUUAAAGCAAGCUAACGCUUGAAUACAUUAGCAUGGAAUAAUGGAAUAGGACGUUCGAUCCUAUUUUGUUGGUUUCUAGGGUUGACGUAAUGAUUAAUAGGGAUAGUUGGGGCAUUAGUAUUCAAUUGUCAGAGGUGAAAUCUUG
Molecule: ribosomal RNA, 346 nt
Filed under: uncultured Glomeromycotina
Lineage: Eukaryota; Fungi; Glomeromycota
Description: SSU rRNA
Rfam family: Eukaryotic small subunit ribosomal RNA
Source: RNAcentral